This is a long non-coding RNA of Cebus imitator (Panamanian white-faced capuchin), 2798 nucleotides long. RefSeq lists it as uncharacterized. The record is from RefSeq and is a predicted model, not a curated record. The transcript is spliced from 2 exons. Lineage: Eukaryota; Metazoa; Chordata; Mammalia; Primates; Cebidae.
AUUACAAAAAUUAGCAGGGUGUGGUGGUGGGCGCCUGUAGUCCCAGCUACUUGGGAGGCUGAGGCAGGAGAAUCACUUGAACCAGGAAGGGGGAGGUUGCAGUGAGCCGAGAUCUUGCCACUGCACUCCAGCCUGGUGACAGAGUGAGACUCUGUCUGAAGAAAAAAAGGAAGAAGUCCCUUCACUGUGCAGGGGACAGGAGACCAUGGAUUGGACCCCAAAGGGAUUGAACUGCAUCUGUAUGUCUGUCCUUUGAACAGUUUCUGUCCCUGCCCAAAAGGAAACCCAAAUUAUUUCUCGGAUACUGGGGAAAUUGUAGUGAAGGGCUUAAUGUAGUUAAUAAAAGAUAAAAGUCAGUAGAAAACAGGAAUGCCUCAGCCUUCAAAUAGUUGCUUCUUUUCCAUUUCCUUCAUGAAUAGACACCACCAUUUUACCCCCUUGUUAUAAAAUUGUGCAGAGCAAGAAGAUGAUACUUAUUUUUGGAUUUGUAUUUUUGAAACUAGAUUUAUAAACUUUUUUUUUUUUUUAAACUAGGAUACUUGCUUCCUCCUUAGCUAAAAGCACCAGUUCAGAUUUUUCAGGUAAUUUUGUUGUUACUCACUUAAGACUGGAAUUAGAAUGUUUCUGGUAUUGCUCAUUUUUUUCUCCUGGCUGUGAUAGAAUCUCAUCAAAUCUUGACAUCUCUCUUAUGGGAAGAAUAUCACAGGCCGAUAUCGUGGGUGGAGGUGGAGAUGAUAGCAGUUAUUAAAUCAGGAAUCUCUUUUAUAUAUGUCCUUGUUACAUUGAGGGUAAGAGGCAAGAUUAUUGGCAGUGGAAUCCCAUUGCAGGAUUUUGUUUGCUGUGGCAUUGGUUUCAUUAACGCACUUUAAUCUGAAGGAUGAUACUGUAACUUGAUUUAUCUAAUUAGCUUUUAAUUAUCUACCGCUAUUUUAUUUAAUUCUCUCCUAUAGUACUGGGACCACUAUAAACUUCUCAGAUGACUUGUAUUUUUGUAGUGCUACGAAAUUUAUUUACAUACUUAUAAAGAAAACUGUAUAGUCGCUUGAACUCUGAAAAUGUACAUGUAUGGCUGGACGCAGUAGCGGUAGCUCAUGCCCGUUAUCCCAGCACUUUGGGGGGCUGAGGCGGGCGAAUCACUUGAGGUCAGGAGUUCGAGACCAGCCUGGCUAACAUGGCAAAAACUCAUCUCUACUAAAAAUACAAAAAUUAGCUGGGCGUGGUGGUGGAUACCUAUAAUCCCAGCUACUCAGGAGGCUGAGACACAAGAAUCGCUUGAGCCAGGGAGGCGGAGGUUGCAGUGAGCUGAGAUCACACCACCGCACUGGAGCCUGGGCAACACAGCGAAACUCUGUCUCAAAAAAAAAGAAAGACAGAAAAUGUGCAUGUAUAUUUUUGUCCCGCAUUAUGUUUUUUACUUGAUAUAAAUGUAUUUUUACUGUGAUAACCCAAGUGCACUGGGGGGCAGGUGUGCUCUGCGUGGUUCUUCCUCCAGUGGAGAGCUGGUGUGGAGACCUGCAGUGUUUGUGAGGAUGGUGGUUUGGACAUGUCUGCUGCUGGGACCUGGGGCGUGUGACUCGGUCCACAUGAGAGGGACAUCUGGGUGGAGGAGUGAAUUCCUGUGCUCUGAAAUGCCACUUGGGAGCUCUGGACAAUGAAGGACAAUUGACUCAAGGGUGCCUGGCUUCUGCUGCUGCUGGGAAAAAAUUCAGUUUAUAGCAUUCCUGCACCUCCCAAAGUAGAUAAGCUGGAAGUCAUUCAGUUAACAGCUGUCCCUGAGGAGUCAGUUUGUGGGAGGCGUUAUCUAGGAGAAGCUUUAGCCUGCUCUGAGCCAUUAGCAGAUAUUAGUGAAUUGGGGCACUGGAGAAUCCUACGAAUGGGCUAUGUCUCAGAAGAGCUAGGACCUCUUUCCAACUGCUGCAGAUGCCCAUGGGCCCUGGGAGGUGGCUGUGCUCUGGAGAAGCCAGAGCAGCUCAUUUCUUGGCCUGGCCUGGCUGCCUCCAGAAAGAGCAGUCAGGACUUGAGGGAAGUAUCAAAUUCAUUACCCAUAAACUGCAGUUGGAGACUAGCUUUCUGAAAUGGCCAGCCUUUGACCAAUUGUUUCAGAUCAUCUCAUUCCUCAGGCUUUGGCAGGUGUCCUGCCCUCCCUCUUACUCUGGUGUGUUCACCUCGUCAAGAAGGCAGAGUGGAUUCGGAGCAAGUUUGCCCUUUGCCAUAGUGACAGCUGUGGGCCCUGAUUGGUGAGGGCUAUGCAUAAUCCUGUAUGAAGGAGAUACAGGUGUGUGUGCACGUGCCUGUAUGAAGGAGAUACAGGUGUGUGUGCACGUGCCUGUAUGAAGGAGAUACAGGUGUGUGCUUCUCAGUUUUGCUAACAGUGGGAGUUCAAUGGGGCAGAGACGGAGGACUGGCCAUGAUGCUCAGCCACAUACUGUAGAGAGAGGCAAUUUGAUGUUAAAUGACACGCCAUCCUCCCUCUCUGGGUCCCUUCUUCCAGUCUACUUUUUUCUUUUUCUAGAACUACUCAUUAUCCCUCAUGGCUAAAAAAUUAAUUGCCUUAGGUGGAGAACUUAAUUUCUAGUAUCCACACCAAACUCAACUCCGUGGUUUCUCCGUAUCUACUGUGUGAGCUGCUUAACUGACGCCCCCUUCCUCCAAAUGAAGGAUUGCUCAGCAUUUUUGGAUUCUAGAAUUUAUUAUUUCCUGCUUUCUUUCUUUGGGACUUCUGAAUUUCUUUGGUUUUGUUUUUAAGAAGUAACCCAAAAUUUCCUAUAACACUAAAUAAAAUGGUACUACCUUUCAAA